GACGAACGCUGGCGGCGUGCCUAAUACAUGCAAGUCGAGCGAGCUUUGCCCUAUUGAAAUUCUUCCGAAAUGGACAUAAAUACAACCUAGCGCCGGAUGGGUGAUUACCGCUGGGGGAACCCGGCCUUUAAGUCGGGUAACCCUUUGGAAAAAAUAUGCUAAUACCGGAUAAAAGCUUUUUCCUGAUGAAAAAUUUUAAAGGGGCGGCUAAGGUUGUCCCUAAAGGAUCCCCCUGCAAUGCACUAGCUAGUUGGGAAGGACACGGUUUACGGGGCGAUGAUGCACAGCCGAUUUGAGAGACUGAUCCGCCAUGUUGGGACUGAGACACGGCCCAAUCUCCUAGGGGAGGCAGCAGUAGGGAAUCUUCCACAAUGGACGCUAGUCUGAUGAACCACCGCCGCGUGAAUGAAGAGGUUUUCGGAUCGAAACUUCUGUUGUGGAGAAGAAAGAUAGAGUAUACUGUCUUUAUUUGAGUUAAUCAACAAAGGCUGGCUACUACUGCAACAGCGAGUAUACUAGUGCAGCGUGAUGUAUUAUUGACUAGGCAGCCGUUCAUUAUAUCUGAUGAUAGCUCG
Molecule: ribosomal RNA, 575 nt
Filed under: uncultured Lachnospiraceae bacterium
Lineage: Bacteria; Bacillati; Bacillota; Clostridia; Lachnospirales; Lachnospiraceae
Description: bacterial SSU rRNA
Rfam family: Bacterial small subunit ribosomal RNA
Source: RNAcentral